RNAcentral lists this ribosomal RNA (230 nucleotides) under uncultured bacterium. RNAcentral's name for it is "partial 16S rRNA". It matches the Rfam family "Bacterial small subunit ribosomal RNA", at positions 45 to 263 of the family's 1533-position model. The record is from RNAcentral.
UGCCUAAUACAUGCAGUCGUGCGGACCUUUUAAAAGCUUGCUUUUAAAAGGUUAGCGGCGGACGGGUGAGUAACACGUGGGCAACCUGCCUGUAAGACUGGGAUAACGCCGGGAAACCGGGGCUAAUACCAGAUAGUUUUUUCCUCCGCAUGGAGGAAAAAGGAAAGGCGGCUUCCCAUUGCCACUUACAGAUGGGCCCGCCGCGCCCAGCCUUUUUGGCGGUUUCUUGG